UACGGGAGGGUGCAAGCGUUAUCCGGAUUCACUGGGUUUAAAGGGUGCGUAGGUGGGUUGGUAAGUCAGUGGUGAAAUCUCCAGGCUUAACUUGGAAACUGCCAUUGAUACUAUCAAUCUUGAAUACCGUGGAGGUCAGCGGAAUAUGUCAUGUAGCGGUGAAAUGCUUAGAGAUGACAUAGAACACCAAUUGCGAAGGCAGCU
RNAcentral lists this ribosomal RNA (204 nucleotides) under uncultured bacterium. Its description in RNAcentral is "partial 16S ribosomal RNA". It matches the Rfam family "Bacterial small subunit ribosomal RNA", at positions 524 to 726 of the family's 1533-position model. The record is from RNAcentral.